This 118-nucleotide ribosomal RNA is filed under the name Ruminococcus sp. AM09-18-1. The record is from RNAcentral. Lineage: Bacteria; Bacillati; Bacillota; Clostridia; Eubacteriales; Oscillospiraceae.
UUUGGUGGCGAUGCGCUUAGGGGUAACACCCGUUCCCAUCCCGAACACGAUGGUAAAGAACUAAGCGGCCGAUGGUACUGCACUGGAGACGGUGUGGGAGAGUAGGUGGCCGCCAAAU